GUCGAGAUCCCGACCUCGAUCUAAAAUUGAAGUAACAGCUCUGAAUCCUGAGCUCGGCCUCGAUCUGAGAUUGGCAGAGUUGAAGAAAUUAAAGAAGAAUGGUUCUUUCCUCUCAAGCCCCACCGAAGUCGGGGUUGGAGCCCUAAACCCGAACACAGCAACCCAGCUGCACUCAACUGCACCGUUUCUGACUCUCUCCAUGACUCCGUGUCUUCGUCUCUGCCGUUUCUGACUCUCCGUCUCCGCCUCUCCGGUCUCCCAUCUCCGAGUCUCCGUCUCCGAGCUCCAGAUUGGACGGUCUGGAGGUUGAAAUGUUUUUCUUGGCGAUUUGGUGAUUGAGGAUUUGGCAAGCAUGGCAGAAGUACAUUGAUAUUGUUAGUGAGCUAUAUCGAUCCUACUUGGACUGAUGGUUUGAUUGUGAAGAGCAAAGGUGGAGAUGGUAGCUCGAUUGGUAAUGAUUCAAAAAGAUCAAUGGGACCGGUUUUCAGCACUUCUGUUUAUGAGGAGGGAUCUGAAAAU
Molecule: long non-coding RNA, 519 nt
Organism: Rosa chinensis
Lineage: Eukaryota; Viridiplantae; Streptophyta; Magnoliopsida; Rosales; Rosaceae
Exons: 3
Source: RefSeq, a predicted model, not a curated record